This 247-nucleotide long non-coding RNA is filed under the name Mytilus galloprovincialis (Mediterranean mussel). Lineage: Eukaryota; Metazoa; Mollusca; Bivalvia; Mytilida; Mytilidae. The record is from RNAcentral.
GGUUUGAUGAACAUGCAUGUUUUUAGAGAGUAAAUAAAGACAAGGAAUAUAAACAGCGUAGUGGUGUAUGUUGGGAUGGUGGUAAGGGUGGAAGUUAAAACCAUAGGAUUACAGGGGUCGAUUUCAAACCAGUAAACACACAAAGAUGAAAUGAAAGCAAACCCUCCUAUAUAGAUUAUGCCAUGGACAAAUAAAUAGAAUUUCUUUAUAUAAGAAGGAGUAGAUGAUAUAAAGACAGGUAUUAAAU